GAUGAACGCUGGCGGCGUGCCUAAUACAUGCAAGUCGAGCGAACAGACGAGGAGCUUGCUCCUCUGACGUUAGCGGCGGACGGGCGAGUAACACGUGGAUAACCUACCUCUAAGACUGGGAUAACUUCGGGAAACCGGAGCUAAUACCGGAUAAUAUAUUCAACCGCAUGGUUCAAUAGUGAAAGACGGUUUUGCUGUCACUUAUAGAUGGUUCCGCGCCGCAUUAGCUAGUUGGUAAGGUAACGGCUUACCAAGGCAACGAUGCGUAGCCGACCUGAGAGGGUGAUCGGCCACACUGGAACUGAGACACGGUCCAGACUCCUACGGGAGGCAGCAGUAGGGAAUCUUCCGCAAUGGGCGAAAGCCUGACGGAGCAACGCCGCGUGAGUGAUGAAGGUCUUCGGAUCGUAAAACUCUGUUAUUAGGGAAGAACAAAUGUGUAAGUAACUAUGCACGUCUUGACGGUACCUAAACAGAAAGCCACGGCUAACUACGUG
Molecule: ribosomal RNA, 497 nt
Filed under: uncultured bacterium
Lineage: Bacteria
Description: partial 16S ribosomal RNA
Rfam family: Bacterial small subunit ribosomal RNA
Source: RNAcentral